AACGAACGCUGGCGGCAGGCCUAACACAUGCAAGUCGAGCGAGGACUUCGGUUCUAGCGGCGGACGGGUGAGUAACGCGUGGGAAUGUGCCCUUCUCUACGGAAUAGCCCUGGGAAACUGGGAGUAAUACCGUAUACGCCCUAUUGGGGAAAGAUUUAUCGGAGAAGGAUCAGCCCGCGUUGGAUUAGGUAGUUGGUGGGGUAAUGGCCUACCAAGCCGACGAUCCAUAGCUGGUUUGAGAGGAUGAUCAGCCGCACUGGGACUGAGACACGGCCCAGACUCCUACGGGAAGCAGCAGUGGGGAAUCUUAGACAAUGGGGGCAACCCUGAUCUAGCCAUGCCGCGUGAGUGAUGAAGGCCUUAGGGUUGUAAAGCUCUUUCAGCUGGGAAGAUAAUGACGGUACCAGCAGAAGAAGCCCCGGCUAACUCCGUG
Molecule: ribosomal RNA, 433 nt
Filed under: uncultured bacterium
Lineage: Bacteria
Description: partial 16S ribosomal RNA
Rfam family: Bacterial small subunit ribosomal RNA
Source: RNAcentral